Anas platyrhynchos (mallard) is the source of this 3262-nucleotide long non-coding RNA. RefSeq lists it as uncharacterized. Lineage: Eukaryota; Metazoa; Chordata; Aves; Anseriformes; Anatidae. The record is from RefSeq and is a predicted model, not a curated record.
CCUCCCAGGUGGGGGGUUGGAACUGGAUGAUCUCUAAGGACCCUUCCAACCCAAACCAUUCUAUGAUUCUGUGAUCUCAAAUGGCUCAGCUACUUGGAGAUGUAUUCUCUUACCUCUCCGAAACCACAAAGAAAUGCACUGGAGUAUGGUGUACCAUUGCAAGUGCUACCAAUUUCUUGGGUCUGGCUUACAGAAUAAAUUGCUCUCAUGUAUUUGCUAAAUUCAAAAUCUUGUUAAAGGGAAAAUAAGCACAUCUUAUUCACAAACAAGGAGUUGUUAUUCUAAUAUGUCUUAAAAGAUUAGUCAAAGUAUAAUUAUUAGUCCAGUUACAAUAUUAACACUUAUGAUUAAAAUCAUGUACAAAUUAGGUUAGUAUAUACAAACAGUGUAGUAUCUCCUUGUUACUGUAAUCCUGUGUUUCUGGGUCCUAAAACUGGUGGUUUUGGUUCAGGGAGAGGGAAGGAUUACAGCCAGAUAUCAGCAUCAUAAGUAAGACUGUGGUGUUCAUGAUUCCUUCUUCCUCUCUUUUCAGUCUGCCCGAAGUAAUUUUAAACGUUUUUAUAAUAUGCUCUAUGCCUUUUGUUAUUGUUGUUGUUGUUUGUUUGUUUGUUUUGUGUUUUUGUUUUUGUUUGGUUUGGUUUUGGCUCACAUUUCCACAAUACAUAUGAAUUUACUGGGCAUUUACUUAUUUUACUUAUGUUAGGUACUUGUUCACUGUUCUUGUUGUUGUUGUUAUCCUUAAAAGUAUCUUUACCCUGCUCCUAAAUUACAUUUCUUUUAAUGACCAUUAACAGACCACUGUUAAGUCGUUUAUAGCCCCAGGGCCUCUGGUAUCAUCCUGUGUCCACAGCUGAAACAUCACCCUGUUCCAGUUCUCCUUUGUUUGCAUUUUUUUCUAGGGCCAUUAAUAGCUCAUUCUGUGUUGAAUAGCUGCUUGCUAUUACCCCAUACAUUCAUUUACAGGCUAAAAUUGGGCAGGUAAUAGUUGCUUGGUAAUUGGAUAACUGUUGUCAGUUAAACAAGCCUGAAUAUAACUCCGGCUAGGCCAAAACAAGUCAAGACAGAGCCUGAUAGGUUGAUAGGUUCUGAUUCCUGGGCCAUUACAAGCAACACCGAUAUACUGGGCAACAAAUGUAUAAUCCCAAAGUCUUUGCUUUAAGUGUCAAGGCAAGAAUGAAGAAGGUACACAGAAUUUUGUUAGCACUGAAACAUCUACAGUACAGGACACGGAACCAAAUAGACAUGUACUUAUAGUUUUUCAAUGGUGGAAAAGAGUUAUAAAGAAAUAGAAUAACAAAACACAUUGCCAUAACCAUACUUAAAAGAAACAUCUUAAAUACUCUAGUCUUUCAGGUUGGCUCUGAGUCUGUUGGGUUAGUUUCAGUGAGCUAUUCCCAGGCUGUCAUCCUUGAGAGGGUUCUUGGAGAUGAAUGAUUUCUACUUGAACUGUUCAUGUUGGUUAGAGAAGCUGUUUGGAGCAGUUUCUUCUUUGGCCCAUAAUCAAAGAUCUACUAUUUUCUCUCUUACUUGUUUACUACUCACCGUUUUCCUCUGUGAGAACACCAAGACAUAAUACGGUGCCAAGAGGAUCAUGCAAUCUCUUUUCCCCAUCCUCCUGAAAUUUACUUGAUUAACAUUUUUAUUGCAUAUCUUAAUUAGUGCAUUCCUAGCUUUAGGCAUCAGGCUGCUUUCUCCUGCUUACAGCCUUGCUAGAAUUCAUUGAUUUUAUUUUACAGAUUCUACAGCAUGGGAAAUAUUAAUGGUACAAAAUCCUUUCAGUAUUUAAAUAUUUGGUUUGUUUCAACUUUAUAUAAGGGCCAUAAAAACAUGUAAAAAUUAUUUGAGAAUUAGCAUUUGAGAAGGAACUUCAUUUACACUACAUUAGAUUUCAGGAAGCUCAUUUAUAUUGGAAAAAAAAAAAAAAAAAGUUGUACAUCUUUAAAUACAGGCAAAUAUAAAGGAAUACAGUUAGUAGCAUUGUUCCUUUACUAGCUCAAUUAUUGGAAAUGUAGGUAUUUCUUUGCCUAGGACCAGAAAGCUGUGUCAAAAUACUUCCAGAUCUGCAGAAAACACAAAUGGAAAGGAUGUAGUCUCUUCUUUUUAACUGACAGUUGAGUGGUUAUAAAACUCACUGUAGAAUGGUAUUUCAGGUACCUGGGAACAUUUCCCAAACCUGAUGGAGUUUGCUAAUCACCAUAUUACAGCAUAUUCUGAUUCAGGGCUCUUGUGGUCUGUCUUGCUAAAUCCUUUGUGCUUUUUAUAAAAUGCUUAAAUAUUUUUGAUGGAGCAGAGACUUGAAUUCUACCCUGAAAACUGUGUUAUCAUUAUAUUAGUUGUCGUUCUUGCAUGGUCUGUUUCUUCUUCCCCCAGAUAUUUCACGAUUCAGAGCACAGAGGAACAGUUUCAACAGGAUGCUUCAGUAUUUUGAAUAGGUUGGAUUGAGUUGGUCCCUGGUGCAUGGUAACUUCUGGACACUCUGUCCUCAGAAAGAUUCCUUGUGGUGGGGAGAGACCCUUCAUGCCUAAUGUGUGAUUGCGAAUUCCAUCAAGUAGCAGGUUAAUUACAAGCUGUCCAGUGCAAUGAAAUUCUUGUGGAUUGAGCCUAAUGUUAACAGGAGUUUAAGGCCUACACUAGACAUCUAAGAAAAUGAGCCUGCUAGCUGGAUUCUGUGCCUGGAAUUAAUCAAUCAUCCAUAUGUUGCUCCUCUCCUCAUCACUUUAAGGAGUCAGGAAUUCAUUGUACUUCAUAUAUCACACACAGUCGGAGUGGAACAGUAAGUAUACAUGUAUAAUUUUCCACUGCUUAAAUACACUUUUUGUUGUAAAUUGAAAACCUUCAGCUUCUUUAACUUUCCAUACAGACAGACAAAAUGAUCAGCAGUUUAGUCAUCCAGAACUAUGGUGGGUUCCUUCAGAAUUAUAUUUCCUGUUUACUUGUCUGGUGCCUGUAAGCUGCUAUUAUUGAGUGAGGUGAUACAGACAUUGCUCUCUUCUCUCUUUCCCCAGAGAUGUAGUGAAAUCCAUGAUUUUCACAGGUAGGAGUAUUACAGAUUGUCCUCCUCCCCCUUUUUUUCCCCUGUGACUAUAACGAUAAUUUUGUAGAUAUAGCAGGCAUCAUCAGUAUAUUCUAGAUAAAAAGGAAAUGAAAUUUCAGAGAUGGAUGCAGUGUUCAUAUAUAUAUACCUAUAUAUUUAUGUGUAUAUACUGAAGGAUACACAUGAAAGUAUUGCUAAUAAUUCUACACACAACUCUUUACUUUUUAA